UGGGGAAUUUUGGACAAUGGGCGAAAGCCUGAUCCAGCAAUGCCGCGUGUGUGAAGAAGGCCUUCGGGUUGUAAAGCACUUUUGUCCGGAAAGAAAUCCUUGGCUCUAAUACAGUCGGGGGAUGACGGUACCGGAAGAAUAAGCACCGGCUAACUACGUGCCAGCAGCCGCGGUAAUACGUAGGGUGCAAGCGUUAAUCGGAAUUACUGGGCGUAAAGCGUGCGCAGGCGGUUUGCUAAGACCGAUGUGAAAUCCCCGGGCUCAACCUGGGAACUGCAUUGGUGACUGGCAGGCUAGAGUAUGGCAGAGGGGGGUAGAAUUCCACGUGUAGCAGUGAAAUGCGUAGAGAUGUGGAGGAAUACCGAUGGCGAAGGCAGCCCCCUGGGCCAAUACUGACGCUCAUGCACGAAAGCGUGGGGAGCAAAGCAGGAUUAGAUACCCUGGUAGUCCACGCCCUAAACGAUGUCAACUAGUUGUUGGGGAUUCAUUUCCUAGUAACGUAGCUAACGCGUGAAGUUGACCGCCUGGGGAGUACGGUCGCAAGAUUAAAAC
RNAcentral lists this ribosomal RNA (552 nucleotides) under uncultured bacterium. RNAcentral's name for it is "partial 16S ribosomal RNA". It matches the Rfam family "Bacterial small subunit ribosomal RNA", at positions 355 to 900 of the family's 1533-position model. The record is from RNAcentral.